GACGAACGCUGGCGGCGUGCUUAACACAUGCAAGUCGAACGGAAAGGCCCUGCUUUUGUGGGGUGCUCGAGUGGCGAACGGGUGAGUAACACGUGAGUAACCUGCCCUUGACUUUGGGAUAACUUCAGGAAACUGGGGCUAAUACCGGAUAGGAGCUCCUGCUGCAUGGUGGGGGUUGGAAAGUUUCGGCGGUUGGGGAUGGACUCGCGGCUUAUCAGCUUGUUGGUGGGGUAGUGGCUUACCAAGGCUUUGACGGGUAGCCGGCCUGAGAGGGUGACCGGCCACAUUGGGACUGAGAUACGGCGCAGACUCCUACGGGAGGCAGCAGUGGGGAAUAUUGCACAAUGGGCGGAAGCCUGAGGCAGCAACGCCGCGUGCGGGAUGACGGCCUUCGGGUUGUAAACCGCUUUCGCAUGUGACGAAGCGUGAGUGACGGUAAUGGGUAAAGAAGCACCGGCUAACUACGUG
Molecule: ribosomal RNA, 468 nt
Filed under: uncultured bacterium
Lineage: Bacteria
Description: partial 16S ribosomal RNA
Rfam family: Bacterial small subunit ribosomal RNA
Source: RNAcentral